This 253-nucleotide ribosomal RNA is filed under the name uncultured bacterium. RNAcentral's name for it is "partial 16S ribosomal RNA". It matches the Rfam family "Bacterial small subunit ribosomal RNA", at positions 524 to 776 of the family's 1533-position model. The record is from RNAcentral.
UACGUAGGUGGCAAGCGUUGUUCGGAAUUAUUGGGCGUAAAGGGCGCGUAGGCGGCCUUCUAAGUCGAACGUGAAAUCCCCGGGCUCAACCCGGGAACUGCGUCCGAGACUGAAAGGCUUGAAUCCGGGAGAGGGAUGUGGAAUUCCAGGUGUAGCGGUGAAAUGCGUAGAUAUCUGGAGGAACAUCGGUGGCGAAGGCGGCAUCCUGGACCGGUAUUGACGCUGAGGCGCGAAAGCCAGGGGAGCAAACGGG